GAUGAACGCUGGCGGCGUGCCUAAUACAUGCAAGUCGAACGAAACUUCUUUAUCACCGAGUGCUUGCACUCACCGAUAAAGAGUUGAGUGGCGAACGGGUGAGUAACACGUGGGCAACCUGCCCAAAAGAGGGGGAUAACACUUGGAAACAGGUGCUAAUACCGCAUAACCAUAGUUACCGCAUGGUAACUAUGUAAAAGGUGGCUAUACUACCGCUUUUGGAUGGGCCCGCGGCGCAUUAGCUAGUUGGUAGGGUAAAGGCUUACCAAGGCAAUGAUGCGUAGCCGAAUUGAGAGGUUGAUCGGCCACAUUGGGACUGAGACACGGCCCAAACUCCUACGGGAGGCAGCAGUAGGGAAUCUUCCACAAUGGGCGAAAGCCUGAUGGAGCAAUGCCGCGUGGGUGAAGAAGGUCUUCGGAUCGUAAAACCCUGUUGUUAGAGAAGAAAGUGCGUGAGAGUAACUGUUCACGUUUCGACGGUAUCUAACCGGAAAGCCACGGCUAACUACGU
RNAcentral lists this ribosomal RNA (511 nucleotides) under uncultured bacterium. Its description in RNAcentral is "partial 16S ribosomal RNA". It matches the Rfam family "Bacterial small subunit ribosomal RNA", at positions 28 to 506 of the family's 1533-position model. The record is from RNAcentral.